RNAcentral lists this transfer RNA (74 nucleotides) under Podarcis lilfordi (Lilford's wall lizard). It matches the Rfam family "tRNA". From Rfam's summary of the family: Transfer RNA (tRNA) molecules are approximately 80 nucleotides in length. Their secondary structure includes four short double-helical elements and three loops (D, anti-codon, and T loops). Further hydrogen bonds mediate the characteristic L-shaped molecular structure. tRNAs have two regions of fundamental functional importance: the anti-codon, which is responsible for specific mRNA codon recognition, and the 3' end, to which the tRNAs corresponding amino acid is attached (by aminoacyl-tRNA synthetases). tRNAs cope with the degeneracy of the genetic code in two manners: having more than one tRNA (with a specific anti-codon) for a particular amino acid; and 'wobble' base-pairing, i.e. permitting non-standard base-pairing at the 3rd anti-codon position. Lineage: Eukaryota; Metazoa; Chordata; Lepidosauria; Squamata; Lacertidae. The record is from Rfam by way of RNAcentral.
ACUCCUGUGGCACAAUGGGUCAGUGCCUAUGGCUGUUAACCAGAAGGUUGGUGGUUUGAGCCCACCCAGGGACG